GUCACAGUGACUUUGUCCGCAAUGUGGGUCUGGGGAAUUCUGCCCUCAACCUCUUCAGUACUUCCCAAUCUAGAGGUCUGUGGACCCAAUAGUGCACAAAUUGCGCUAGGUGGUCGGGUAAGGACCUUUCAGGAGACCUGGGGUUUCGAAUGGUAUGUGAGUCAAAGAGGGGUUCGCCCGUUGAGUCUAGGAAAAUGUUCUCCUCUAGAAAAGUGGGUAGAGGUUGUGUAGUGAAGUCACCGGUUUCUCGCACAUAUGGAGAAUCGUCCGGUUCGUCCUCGCCCCACCCAACCUCGUCCUCUGAGGGAG
This is a non-coding RNA of Pelobates cultripes (western spadefoot toad), 309 nucleotides long. The record is from the annotation of a GenBank genome assembly. NCBI's taxonomy places the organism in Eukaryota, Metazoa, Chordata, Amphibia, Anura, Pelobatidae.